UAAUCUCCUCAUCCCACAAUCUUCCUGUUUCCUUUGUUGGCUCAGCUAGUCAUAAUCACCAAGCUCGCGUUCGAUCCAACGCGGCGUUAAAUCCAUCAUACAUAGCCAAAAUCCACUUCCAUGACAUCCCAACACCUGAUUUUGACUCACCUGCACCUGAUCCUAAUGCAUUGAGCAAAUUUCCAGCUCAACUCAUACCAUCUUAUAAUGCUUGCACGCUUCUUCGCGAGCCUAUCGCUUUGUUACUUGGUGAACUCUCGUCUAAAUCAAGACGAGUUGUCGUUGUUCAUGAUGCUUUAAUGUCCUAUAAUGUUCAGGAUGAUUGUUCCUUGCAUAAUACUGAGUCUUAUGUAUUUAACUGUGUUUCUGUUUUCUUUAUGUAUUGUAGUUUUGUAUGUAUACCUAAUGGUUUGCCUAUUCCACUUGAUGAAGAUUUACUUAAAAAGGUACCUAAACUUGAAGCUGAUGCACCAGAUGAGAUCAAUAAGAUAGUGGAUUUUCAACUUCAGUAUAAGGAUAUUAGAGCUGGUGAUUUAUACAAUUCAAACAAAGUACUUGAAGGUACUGUUACGGUUCGACUUGAUUUUCUACCGUCAUUAGAAUUACCUUUCUCGAUGGAAAAUGUUUCGUAUUUGGUUAAAUCGAGUUUGAAGGGGAGCCUUGGAGUAACUGGUAAAGUUGUUGCCAUGUAACCAGGAGGUGCAAGGUAAGGCUGCGUACAAUGCACCCUUGAGGUGGGGCCCGCGCAUAGCGGUCGCUUUAGUGCACCGGGCUGCCCUUUUUAGUCUGUUCAUAUUAGAAGUCAUAGUAUUGUUCCUGUAGUUUCUUGAUUUCUGCCACUAUUUGUUGUUUCUUGUACUCGGUCAAGAUAAGGCUGCGUACGAUGCACCCUUGAGGUGGUGCCCGCGCAUAGUGGUCGCUUUAGUGCACCGGACUGCCCUUUUUAGUCUGUUCAUAUUAGAAGUCGUAGUAUUGCUCCUGUAUUUCUUGUCCUUUAACUUUUGUUGCUAUUCGUUGUUUCUUGAACUCGGUUAUUGCGUUGUUUCUGUUGUAGUUUCCGUUUUGUUACUAUCUGCUAUUUUUGUUAUUAUUUGUUGUUUCUCAUACUUCCAUAAGUCCUUUUUGGGACCACUUUUGGACUGCGUUUUCAUGAGCUGGUGGUUUAUUGUACACGACCUGUCUACCUCUGAGGUAGGGGUAAGGUCCGCGUACAAUCUACCCUCCGCAGCCCCACUUUCAUGACCGCGUACAAUAUAGUUUUCUUUGUCGUCUGAUUUAUCGCUAUCAUGGCAUGUCGCCCCGACUAUUUCGUUCCAACAGGUGCUUCUCUUGAUUUGAUGGCAAAAAUUGCAAGUACAGAAAACAAGAAGCAAUGGGCAAUCGGACCGAUUUUGCCUACUAAACAAGAUCAUGUAUCAGAUAAGAGAAACAAGUGUUUAGAUUGGCUUGAUAACCAACCUCCAAGAUCAGUUAUUUAUGUAUCUUUUGGAUCAUCAACUACAUUUUCUGAUAAAGAAGUCAUGGAGCUCGCGAUGGGAUUAGAGAGAAGCAAACAGAAGUUUCUAUGGGUGUUGAGACUGCGAACAGCCUGUCUAACCUCUUCUACCUUAAAACGUCUACUUUUAUAGAACACAACCAACAAAAAUGUCUUCAAUAUACCUUCACUUCAUUUCUCAAAUCCUGUUCUUGUUUUCUCCAUGGAUAACAUGAAUAAGAACCUUGAAGUAGUUAUAGUAAUGGUUCCAUUUCCAGCACAAAGCCAUCUCAAUCAACUGCUUCAAUUUGCUUGUUUAAUCUCCUCAUCACACAAUCUUCCUGUUUACUUUGUUGGCUCAGCUAGUCAUAAUCACCAAGCUCGCGUUCGAUCCAACGCGGCGUUAAAUCCAUCAUACAUAGCCAAAAUCCACUUCCAUGACAUCCCAACACCUGAUUUUGACUCACCUGCACCUGAUCCUAAUGCAUUGAGCAAAUUUCCAGCUCAACUCAUACCAUCUUAUAACGCUUGCACGCUUCUUCGAGAGCCGAUCGCUUUGUUGCUUCGUGAACUCUCGACUAAAUCAAGACGAGUUGUCGUUGUUCAUGAUGCUUUAAUGUCCUAUAAUGUUCAGGAUGAUUGUUCCUUGC
Molecule: long non-coding RNA, 2124 nt
Filed under: Capsicum annuum
Lineage: Eukaryota; Viridiplantae; Streptophyta; Magnoliopsida; Solanales; Solanaceae
Description: long non-coding RNA (CANN_LNC007539)
Source: RNAcentral